RNA transcript from Myotis daubentonii (Daubenton's bat), 2048 nucleotides. It is a transcript of the gene named granzyme H-like, with no coding region annotated. Lineage: Eukaryota; Metazoa; Chordata; Mammalia; Chiroptera; Vespertilionidae. The record is from RefSeq and is a predicted model, not a curated record.
CCAAGGAAAGGAGGGGUCCUUGUGUGUGUUAUGAGAUUUGGGUUCCUGGGGCUCAGGCACCUGCUACUGGUUGAUGCAGCAUCACGAACCGCCCUAUCUAUAGCCUGUGGUUCCUGUUUUCAGCUGGAAUAGUCACCACUGAGUCAAUGGCUGCCAGUGCUUAUGUGGUUACUGAGCGGGCCGUGGGUGAUAAAGGCCACAACACUAAAGAGCCCUGGGCUCAGAAGACCAGGAGGAAGCACCAGCAGCUCUGACCUGGGCAGCUUCCUGAGGAGAUGCAGCCACUUCUGCUCCUGCUGGCCUUUCUUCUGGCUCCCACGGCGCAGGCAGUGAAAAUCAUCGGGGGUCAUGAGGUCAAGCCUCACUCUCGUCCCUACAUGGCAUUUCUUCGGAUCAGGAUUUCAGACAGAAAAAGAUGUGGGGGUUUCCUUGUGCGUGAGGACUUUGUGCUGACAGCAGCUCACUGCUGGGGAAGAUCCAUCACAGUCAUCCUGGGCGCCCACAACAUCAGGAAGCGUGAAAGGACCCAGCAGGUCAUCCCAGUGAAAACAGCCAUCCGCCACCCAAACUAUCAUCCCAAAGUCAAUGACAUCAUGUUGCUGCAGCUGCAGAGGAAGGCUACUCUGACUGCUGCUGUGAGCCUCCUCAGGCUGCCCAGGAGGGGAGAGCAGGUGAAGCCAGGGAUGGUGUGCAGAGUGGCCGGCUGGGGGCGACUCGACCUGAACACCAGCACAGCCACACUGCAUGAGGUAGAGCUGGAAAUCCAACAGGAUGAGCAGUGCAUCUCUUGCUACAGACACCGUUACAACAGAACCACAGAGAUCUGUGUGGGGGACCCAGAAAGGAAUCAGUCUACUUUUAAGGCUGCAGCCCAGGGCAGCUCCCUAGUCUCCUGGUAACUCAAGCCAAUGAGAGCUCAUCAGAGAAUCCCUCUGAGAUCAUGACUGGGGCAAUGAGAGGCUGGGAAAUAGACAGGUCAAUCAGUGUCUCCCUAGGGCCCACACCAUCAAGGAGCAGGUGACGACCCAGCAGACUCACGUGUAACAACAGGCCCAGGGAAUUUUCUCCUGUGGAGAAAGAAACUUCCAGGAGUCUUCAUGAACGUCUCAUACUUCCUCCCCUGGAUACAGAGAACAAUGAAGAGCCUCUAACAGCAGGCAUGAGGCUGGCCUUCCUCUUGGCUUGACCAUUCGUCUGGGGGCAGAGGCAAGAAUCCCAUGGGGCAGGCAGUGUGGAGUACAGGGCCUAAUAAACACAUCUCUAGAGCCAAUGCCACAGAAGUCUUAUUCAGUGAACCCCUUUCAAUAGGUAACAACAAUGCUCCAUGCGCCCUCUGCUGGCAAUUCUGGGCUUGCUUCCUUCUUUCUCCCCCCAGCCUCCAUCCUCCCUAAACCCCAUACAGUAUAGUUUCUCAUCCAUUUUGCAAGCACACCUCUUUGGUGCUUAACCCUCUGGAAGGUCUGAUUCUAAGCUCCAUUAUUUAAAAAAAAAAAUUCUCUCCCAAGAAAUGGCCCUCUUUGGGCCUCAGAAAUUUCUUAUCUUCUGUAAGCCAAAUACUAUCACCAACCCCCUCUCCCCCAACAAUUUGGCUGAAGAAGAAUAACUCCAGGACCUAGAGGCCAGAAGGCCAUGCCAUGGGCACUGUUUUCUGCUUCCAGGUCCUCUCUCUCCAGUGGGAGCAGGAUUCUCAGGAGGCUCAGAUGCUCCUAUGAUGGCCCUCAGCCUACUCAGGUCACAUUUCCCUGCCCGGCCCUGGGACAGCACUGAGCUCAGUCAGCCUCUUUUCUCCCUGGCUGACCUUCCCAGCCCCUGUUUUCCAUCUGAGUGCCCAGACACCAGCUUCUUCCCCCACCACCACCCCCAACCCAGACCACUUAUUUUGAGCCAGCCUCUCUCACAUCUACCUAACACAGUUCUGAAUACCAGCGUGAAUUCUCCUCUAUUGCUUCCUCACCAGACCUGAACUGCCAGCCCACCUGGUGCCUAUCAGAAGAGCCAGAAUCUACUUCCCACCUGGGCAGGACCAGCUCAGUGCCUUCCAGCCCAGC